Molecule: ribosomal RNA, 253 nt
Filed under: uncultured bacterium
Lineage: Bacteria
Description: partial 16S ribosomal RNA
Rfam family: Bacterial small subunit ribosomal RNA
Source: RNAcentral
UACGGAGGGGUCAAGCGUUGUUCGGAAUUACUGGGCGUAAAGGGUUUGUAGGUGGCCAACUAAGUCAGAUGUGAAAUCCCUCGGCUUAACCGGGGAACUGCGUCUGAUACUGGAUGGCUUGAGUUUGGGAGAGGGACGCGGAAUUCCAGGUGUAGCGGUGAAAUGCGUAGAUAUCUGGAGGAACGCCGGUGGCGAAGGCAGGGUGCUGGAGCAGCACUGACACUGAGGAGCGAAAGCCAGGGGAGCAAACGGG